Molecule: long non-coding RNA, 23954 nt
Filed under: Setaria viridis
Lineage: Eukaryota; Viridiplantae; Streptophyta; Magnoliopsida; Poales; Poaceae
Description: long non-coding RNA (SVIR_LNC007217)
Source: RNAcentral
UGCUCACAAUUAAUCCUGACUACACACGAGCUUCUCUCCCUGGCCAAGACACAAUCAUAGUAUGAUGAAGAACAUGGCACUAGCCGGCAAUGGUAUGAAGAACUUAAUCCUCGCUGUUCUCUUACUGUGUCUAGUUAUAGGGCAGAUACAAGUGGAAGCUAAGAGCUGCUGCCCAUCCAUUACUGCAAGAAAUAUCUACAAUGCCUGCCGUAUCACGGGUACAUCCCGUCCAACGUGUGCAAAACUGUCAGGCUGCAAAAUUAUCAGCGGGGACAAAUGCAAGCCCCCUAACGACCACCUCACCCUUGACCCGGACACUGGUAAAUAAUAAAUUUAUCUCACUUGAUUUCUUCGUGUUUUGAGUCGUUAAUGUAUUUUCCAUCUGAUGAAACGUAUUGGUUUUGCAUUGAAGAGGAAGUUAAUGUGCUUAACUUCUGCAAGUUGGGGUGUGCGUCGUCUGUGUGCAACAACAUCAACGCUGGUAAGCACCUUUUGCUCAGACGGAGAAAACAAUAAUCAUUAAUUAGCGGCAGCUAGAAUCCUAUAAUCUAAUAUAUUUAUAUAUAUAUAUAAUUUUAUCAGCUCUGGGAAAUGAAGAGGCGAACGAUGCCGUUGAGAGUUGCGACCAAGCCUGCUCUAGCUUCUGCAACGUGCACGUUGGCGCUGCCACCGUGGUUGCUUAAGCAAAUGCAUCCAACUGGAUCGUCCUUGUGCUAAAUAAUUGGAUAUCGUAUCCACUUAAAGCUGCCUUGUGUAGUACGUUUUUGUUUGUGUCUCUCUUUAUAUUCCAAUAAGGUCGGUGAUCUUGAUGCCACACACUCAGACGUGUGUUCAUCUCCAGAUACUACUCCAUGCUACCUGCCCUUUGUGUUUUGUUCAAUAACUGGGUAUCAUAUCCCAGCCAGUGUGCCAUCUGUUUUGUGUUUAUUUCCUUCUAGUUUCAAAGGGGUUAUCAUGAUGUUACCUUCUUUCGAUAUGGUGCUUUGCAUGACUACUGUUGUAUGGUACCAUCUUGUUGGCCAAUAAAUACAUCUUAUCCUAUGACCCUUUGCUAUGACCCUUUGCAAAUAAGUACAAGAUUGUUAAAUACUCGGUAUAAAUUGACUACUGCUGUGAGUUCCCUUUCAGCUUAUCGUAGGCAUACAUUAUUGCUAGCACGGUGAAGACAACCAACACGAAUGGUCAAGUAAACGUACCGGUACUUUUGUAUACCAACACCCUUGCUUAAAUGUACCGGUGUUACUCCCCACUAGCACAUAUAUUCUUAUAUGCUAGCCGGCUUGAAAAUUAACCGAUUAAAAUAAUUAUUUCAAGACAGAAAUAACUUAUCGGCUUCUCGAAGCAUGUGUAAUGUGAAUUCAAGGACUUGAUGGAAGUUGAAUCGCUUAAUCUAGAUUGCUUUCAGGAUUUUGGGUAACUAAAUUUAACAUUUGCACAUACAAAUGUUAAUGUACAAAUAUUAAAUAUAGUUACCCAAGCAGAAUAUGAAGAUACUCUAUAGUAUAUAUAUACUAUAUAAAUCUAGUUAACAUUUAGUCUAAAUGUUAAAUCUAGUUACCUAAAAUCCUGAAAGCAAAAUGUAUAAAUAUAUAUCUUUUAAGGAAUCCCAAAGCAAGAGUUCAGUGGCAUUCUAUAGUCCCAUGCUGCUAGUUUGAGUUGGUCGAAGCCAACUUAAAUAGGAGAGCUCUCUCACUUCUCUAAAUACGUAACUGAAGGAGAGAAGGGGGCUUGGUUACACAACGCACGCACGCACGCAUAUUUGCGUUCUUUUCGCGUAACCAACCGCGUGACUUGAAACUUGCGACGUAGCGUGCUGCCAAGUCAAGUUGAUAUAACCUUUUUGCCGUAGGCGUGUAAUCUUUUGACAACGGUCAUUGGAGGUGAUAAGCACGCAGUCAAUACCUUAAUCCUGAGUUAAUAGGGCGGUUACUACUGCCAAUUAGUGGGGCAAUUUUGUAGGGGAAACGGUUAGCAGAGGGCUACCAUCUUCUCUAUAAGAAGUUCUGGAGACGUCCAGGAACACACAUGUACAUGUGAGAGACCCACGAAUUCCUUCCCAUCUCCCUUUUCCAUCUGGUGAAGUGUGCUAUGGUACUGAGCUGCUGGAUCUCGCCGGCUCUUCUCCUUGGCGUGCACCGAGGAGGAGGGUGAGCGGUAUCUCCGAGCUAUUGCCGUCAGGAAGCCUGCACGAGGGACAACAAUAAAGUUUUUGGGUAGCGCAACUACGCAACCGCUCGAUUCGAUCGACUAUGUUCUGCGCUGCCUCAUCUUCGAUCUGCACUGCAACACGUAACCCUGCAGCAAGUCUACACAAGGACGGAGCACUAAUCUGUAAGUCCUAGAUUGGUUUCUUACAGAGUUGUAGGUUACACAAGAUCUAGAAUUGUUACAUACUUAUUAUUAUGGGUUACAUGAUGUUUUGUACGGUUACGUCUAUUUUGCAUAUGCUAUUUUUACAUACCGUUUACAUGCAUAUGUAAUGGUUACGCCUAGCUAUUUGAAUCUAGAAUUGGGUUACAUAGCAGUAGCAAUGACUUACGUAAUAUGCCUCAUGUUUAUAUCUGGUAGAAUUUAACACGUAUCUCCAACAUAUUUUGAGGCAGUAUAAAUUUCAAUUCCUUUUGCUGCUCUGUUAAAUCCCGUCUUUCGUGUGGCCCAACACUCUAGUAUGCAUGUAGCACCAAGCUUGUUUGAGCCGCUUUGUGCUCUGAUUUUGCUGUCUGUAUCAGGUUGGACUGUUUCUUUGUCUUGCGAUGUAUAGCUUCAUAUCUUCUAGAGGUUAGACAGCAAAACCCGCGUUCUCUUAAGGCAACAACUCGAAGAAUCUGCAGCGCUCCUGAUAUAUCACUGCUGCAGAAACAAUCUUUAGUACUGAUUUCCAACCCCCUUUAGUAUCGGUUUGGCAAUCAGUACCACUACGUCGGUACUAAAGGGAGUUCUCUAGAAUCGGGUCAAAUAACUGGUACUAAAAGUGCUCCUCUACUACCAGUUGGUAACACCAAUAGGUAGUAACUUUUUUUGCACCCAAAAAAUUAAAGAAAAACAGCCGGGAGGCUCGCGCACACACGCAUCAUGAGUAAUAUGCGCGUGCAUGGUUUGUGGGAUUCCAACCCACGACCAAGCUAUAAGCACGUAGUUACAAAAAAAUUAAACACUUAGACAUUUUAGAGCAUCCCAAAUAACUACAAAUUCUUUAGUUUACCAUAUACCAUAAAAUAUUAGUUAAAAUAAGAGCAUACGCACGUCGGAAGAGUCCCAAUGCACCGGUUGAGGAUCAGACCAGGCACUUUGAAUGCACAUGCCAUAAGAUAAUUCUGCAGGACGAUGAUUGCAAUAAUGGACCAUCGAGAAGAUAGGGGCGAUGGGGUUGCCUCAUCAAUUAUGACUUGGCGCAACAAGACCAGCAAAGUCUUUAUCGACAGGGGUGGAUCAAGGGGUGGGGCGGGUAGAGCUCCAAUCUUCCUACCGCCGCUCGAACAAUGGAGCCCCCCUUAGCCCCUCCAUAAAUUUUUAGGUAGAAGAAAAAAGAAGAGAAGGGAAGGAAGGGGAAGAAUAGGGAGCCCCUCCUAAGUAGGUCGCCAUCGUGCUUCCCAACGCAUGAUCGCCGCACCGCAUCCAUUCCUCUACAAGCCUCCAGCGUCUCUCCUGCCGCUACCUCUGAACCAUGUGCAGCUGCAGACCCAACUAGUGUCUUGUCACCCAUCUCAAUCCCAACAGAGCGGCGGCUCCUGCCAGCACAAAUCUCCCUCCGCCUGUUCUUCACGAUCGAUGGCCACCACAAGCAUAAACCUCGCCUUCGCAUCCACGCAAAAGGGUCGCCGGUGUGCCUUCUCGCAUCGCUUCUCAGCCUCCUUCACUUGCGGCUGGCCAAGAACCGUGCCACCACCUCGGGUGCGCGCCACCGCUCCAGGGCCGCUACCCCAUGCGUGCGGCCGCCGCCGGCCACCACGCGUGUGCAACCGUGUCGCACCGCUUCCCUGCUCUGUGCCACCACUGCUACUGCACCACCAGCUCCACCACCUUGGGCUGGUCGCCAGGGUGACUGAUUGGUGGAUUAUUACUACAAAUAAGUUCCUUAUUAUCUGCAACUACUAUUAACUCAGGGAUACAUGCGUCUUUUGCUUCUCCUGUUAAUAUGUCCUAAAAUAUCUAGAAUGCCUUAUAUUUCUGGACGGAGGAAGUAUUUGAAUAAAAUGAACCAAUUUUAAAAAAUGUGUUGUACACUACUACAGAAAGAACUAUCAGUGUCAAACCCAAAAAUGUCGUCACUGCCAGUUUUGGGCAUCGUUGGUGAAAGGUUGGCGGUGAUGGGUAUCCCCUUCAACAACGGCACUAGAGCUAACAGUGAUUGACAUUAGAAAACGAAAAAGGGGACCCACCUAGCCACCCCUGCAACCCGGCUGGCCGUGCCUCCCGUCAUCCCCACCACCUCGCCUCCCCCGUGACCCCCCGCCGGCGCCCUUGCGCCUAGCCCCCUCGCCUGCCUGGCCGGCCACCCUCGUCACGAGAGAGAGGGGUGCAUGUUGUAUAAUUGCGUGAAUUUUUAAUGUUUAAUUUCAUGUAAGUUUCAUAUAAUAAAUUGUACAAGUUUUAUUGUAUAUAUGAAUUCCAUAUAUAUAUAUUUAUAAUUUAAUGUAUGGUUUCAUGUGUAUAUUUCAAUAAUGUGUAUAUUUAGUAGAUAGCCGAUUUUCUUUUUCUACAAGACAAGGGUUGAUGUAUAAUUACGUGUAUAUGUUUAUUGUACGGGCAAUUAGGACAAGUUUUGUAUAAAUUUCUUUUAUUUCAUGGUUGUUGUAUGGUUUCAUGUAUAUACAUUUAUUGUACUACUUGAGACAAUUUUUAAUUUAAUGUUUCUAUGGUUACAUGUGUGUAUAACUAAUUGUAUUAUUAGUUAAGAUGGGAGCCAAAGAGGAUGAAAGGUAUAUAAUGGAGCAGAUUAUUGCUGGCGGUAGUGGCUCAAACGUUGCAAGAACCUACAUCAAGGGUGAGGGUAGCUAGGUGGACAUGUACCUCAACAUGUCCAGUGAUGGCAAUGACGAUGAGGAGCACGAGCAUGACGUUUAUGAUAGUGCGGAACAAGACAUUGCAGAAUUGGAAGGUUCUAAUGAGGUGUGCUUCAUGUUGAUGAUCUGGUUGGCUUUUUUUCUUUGGUCACACCUUAGUUACCAUAGAACUUCGUCUCGGGAGAAGAUUGGAGGUGCUAUGGUGAUUGGAAUUUUAUUGCCUCCAAAUAUGAUUUCCAUCGAAUCAUAUCCCUUGUAUUUAUCUUCUUUUUAUUUGUGAGAGCAUCUUCUUUAUGCUUGCAAAACAAUUCAAGUGCACAUACUACACCUAGGGUGAUGAUUAGGAGUAGAAACAAUUGCCAACAAACGAACACCACAUCCUAAGAUUCUUAACUUGUGGUAUAAUUAGUCUAGUAAAAAGAAAGAUAAAAACCUAAUGGGUGUACGUGAGUGCAAUGCGUAUAUGCAUAUGAGUGGAAGGCAUAUAAGCAAAGAUAAUAUUUACACAUAGAUCUAAGCACCAUGUUUACAACUAAGUUGCUGAAUUUCUCCAUAGCUAUAGAGAUUAAUGAACCAAGGUCAAAACACCAUGUCUAUCCCAAGAUCAGUAAUUCUUUAUAGCACAAGAAAAAGAAAGCGCAUUGCAAAGUUUAUAAACCAACCAAUGCAGCAUGAAAACAAGAUGAAUAGCUAGCAAGGUUUAUUAAACUGAAUGAUGACGGUCUGCAAGCAAGUUUGAACACCAUCUUUACACAAGAUUGCAAAUGGAAAAUUCCCAUAUGAAGAACUAACAUGGAUAUGAAAUCAUUCAUCAUAAAGCGUAAAGAACAACCAAGCCAACCAUAUGCAAAGCAUGAAUGGAAUGCAAUGAAGGUGCAAGAGAACAUUUUUGGAUGAACCCAUUAUGAUGAUGGCAAAAUGCGCCGUGCCCCCCAGCCCCCGCGGUGAGAUCCCGCCGCUCGCUGCCGCCAGACCCUAUUAGGCCUCCACCGGCAGGUCCACCCACGGUCCCGCGCGACGUGGCAGCCUCUUGGCUCUCGGCGCUCGCGGCACGCCAGUGCUGGCGCAGCCCCACCAGGCGACUACCCUCCCCCCAUAAGGCCUCGGCCCCUCCCCAGCGCCGCCCCCCAACACCAGGACUGCCUGCUGCCCCCCACCGUGAGGUAAUCGAAAUCGACUGCUCAAUCUCUCAAUCUGUUGAUAUGAUGCACACGGUUGCAAAAAUAGAUGUGUCAAAAUAGAUGUUUUGCCAAUUGCUAUAGAUGCAUACGGUUGACAUGAAGUCAAAAAUGACAUUUGGUUCCUUGUAGGCAGUCAAAAAUGAAGAAGUCAAAAAAUAUUGAUCUGAAAUCAAUGUGGGAAAGGGCUAUGAAGACACGCAGGUAGAUUCCCUUGUGAACUUUUUAUGUCGUUCGUCUAAAUAAUUUUUUGCAAUGGGCAUACCCUACUCUGAAAUCCUGGGUCCGCCACUGAUGAUGAUGGUCUAAAAAUAAACCAAGCCUAGAUUAAUUAGCCACAACUGAAAUUAAGCAAAGGUUAAUGUCAUUGACCCUAGCUCUAUCCUAGCUUUUACCAAAGUUCCGGCACAUAUAGUGGUUGGGCCCACUCUCUCUGCUUCCCUCUCUGCUGCAUGCACGCACACGAGCAACGGGAGGCCCGACGAAGCCCAGAAGGGUUCGGCCGAACCAGUAUGAGCGCCGCUCCCUCCCAGCCUUCGCGCAGAUGCUCCUCCAACGUUCCUUGACCCCUCCCUCAGCGUCCCGUUGGGUUUAACAUUGCAGGAGAGGAGUCCCUUUUUUAAAAUCUCAACCACCUCCUCUCCCCAUUCACUCCACUCUCAUCUCCAUCAAACUCACCAAGAUCCGCACCGGAAAUCCCUGCUUACCACCAUGGCUGGCAAAGCCCUCAUCCCUUUCACCAACUUGGGCUUGACCACUGAUCUCGAUGGGGAAAUCACUCUGGCAAAUAUGCGUGUAACACUGCCCCCUUUGCCGAGGGUUAAAGCCAAAACACUCAGCAAAGUGGAUAGUACCCCCCUUUUUACCCGUUUUGUCAUGUAUAACGGACCCCUCUCAAUUCACAAUAGACAUCAUCAUAGGCAUUUAUAAUAAACAAUCACAGGCAUAAUUCACAAUCACCAUUACAAGCAUUAUUCAUAAAUAUCACAGACAUAAUCCAAAGUAAGCAUGAAACAAGCCAUAAAUCCAAGUUCAAGUCACAACUAAGUUUCAUCCAAGUUCAAGUCACAAAUGCAAUGUCUAAAUCCAUGGAGGCCAAGGAGACCACUGCGACAAAUCUUGGUCUUCAUUAUUCGAAGCCGCCGAUUGAUUCUGCACAUAGGAUAGGACAUUCUGAGCUAACAUCUAAAGUUGUCAAAAUUAAAGUAUUCAAUCUUAAGCACAAUGUGUCAAAUGACUCACAGGAGUAGUUGUGGGUGGCUGAGGCGGAGGGAACAGCAUCGAUGGCGGUGGCAAAGAUUGACCCAUGCUCGAAGCAAAAUUCUGCAUGUACUGGAACAUCUGGUCCAUCCUCAUCCGAUUUUCUUCCUCCAUCCUCUGCCGCUCGGCCUCUAACCUCCGCUGAACCAUCUGCUCCAUCCUCGCCGCCAUCUCCUCUUGUUGCUUCCUUGCUGCUUCCACCUGGGCCUACAAUAUUUCAUUGCAAUGUUACAAUGCAAAGCUAAAGUAUAGCAACCAACGAACAAUGAAUGGAAGAGAAAGAACCUGGAGAGCCUCCAUCUGGAACUGUCCAAUGGUUGGUCGUAGCCGUAUCGCCGGGCUCGAGUCCGUGCUCCUUGCUUGGAUCUGGGAGAGAGUGGCAGUAGAGGCCGUGUUGAUUACGCCGUCGCCAAUCCAAUAUCGGCCAUGCUUCUUGCCUCCUCCCACCCUCAUCACGAUUUCUCCAUCAAUAUCCUCAGAGCUUGAAUCGAAGUCUGGCCCGUGAACCUCCCUUGCCAUCACUGUAUAUUCCUUUGCCGAGUGCCCGAGAUAAAGCACUCGGCAAAUAGAAAACACUCGGCAACUUUACUGUUUCCCGUAGUGUCGCUAUUUUUGCAGGUUCUCGACCAGGCCAGUUCUUUGGGCCAACCUAUCAUUCACGACUUAAACAUACGGUGGCUGUAGAAAUGUUCUAUUCUUUUCAACAAUACCAGCUGGUUCCUCCGUUUUUAUUCCACCAAUACAAGCACCACCUUGUAACAUUUCCUAUGUUUUUUUUUCCUUUCGUCUGUUUUCUACAUGCGUUGCUCUUUCAUGCAUUUUUUUCCAUUCCUGUAUUCCAAAUAGGUCUACAUGAACACAAAAUGAACUAGGGGACAGAAAAAGCCAGUGAAGCCAAUUUUGAGCUUCACCAGCUACUUGCUACAUAAAGUGUGCUAUAGUGACGUGUUUUAGCAAAACAUGUUAUCAAUGACUUGACAUUGGUGACGUGUUAAAACGCGUUAUCUCAAUGGCAAAUCAUUGGUGACGUGUUUUAAAAAAACAUGUCACCGUGAGAGUCAUUGGUGAAGGGUAAUUAUAAUGCGUCACUAAUGUUGUAGCAUUAGUUAUGAUAAUUUAGUAACGCAAAAAUCUACCAUCAGUAUUGAGCUUUAGAGCCAUCGCUAAUGUGGGUUUCUUACAUAGUGAUGCAAGCUCUACAAGGUGCUGUUGCUGCCAUUUUAAAGCAUCCCAUGACUACAUGUUAAUAACAUAGUUUACCAUAUAUCAUAAAAAUAUUAGUUACAAUAAGCACAUACGCAUGUGGAAGAGUCCGAAUGCACCGGUUGAGGACUAAACACAUUGAAUUACUAGAACCAAAUGUGUGUUUAGAACAAAGACAGGGGUCAAGGUUUGGGUAACCGCAUUAAAAACAUUGGAUUUUACUGUACAUGAACACUUAGUUACCAUUACCAUGCCUUGAGCACCUAGUUACAACAAACAUUAAUUUAGCCACUUUAGAGCUUCCAGAAUCGCUAUAAAUAAUAUACCUACGCCGUACCAUGAAAACAUCAAGAAGAGAGACGGAUACAUGGACCACCAUCAAGCGAGUAGUGACAGCACGCACAAGAAUACCCGGAACCUGUUAGCUUGUCUGUAGUGAUCUGUUUUCUUCCCCAUAAAAUCCAUGAGUAUUGCCACAAAUAAUGAAAGAGGCUGACCAAGCUAGCAAGGAGGUAGAGCAAACGUGAUACACGGCCUGCCAAGAUUGCCCUGGAUACGCCAAUAAGAGCGACAGAUACAUGGAUCACACCAAUAUGGUGAAACGUAUAUUCAUCACACAAGCAAAGCUGGUCAGUUUAUCCAUGGUCAAAUUGUGGUCUUUGUUUUCACUUGAGAGCUAAUUGAGGCACUAUAAUAUGGGCAGGCCUAUCUUCAACAGACAUGACAGCUACAGGGAACUUGACAUAAUUUGCUGGGCCGCCUGUGCACAAUUAUUUGUUUUAUUGUCCUUGCAUAGAAUGCUAAAAUACUCUUUACAAAAUGUUGGAUCUAAUAUUUGAAAUAUAGAGUAGUAAUCAUAUAUUGAUCAACAACUUGAAAUUAUCUGUACAUUCUCGGUGAAGCUGUUGAACUAAUUUUUGCAAAUUAUUAAUUCAUCUCAUUACGUAAAGAAAAAAGUAAGUGGAUAAGAUAUUUCGUGGACCACAUCACUGCAAACAUGUCAUGGAGAGACAGACCAAGGAGGCAGGACGUGAUACACGACUUACCCUAGGUUGCCGUGGAACCGCCAAGAAGAGAUACAGAUACAUGGACCACACCAUCUUGGGAGUAGUGACAGCAUAUAUGCAGAAGAAUACCCCGUGCCUAUUUGCAUGCAUGUCUCAAGUGAUCUGUUUUCUUCAGAAAAUACAUGAGCAUUGCCAGAAAGAAUGGCAAGAGACAAACAUGUCAUAGAGACUUGCAUGUCUUGCCUUGGAUACGCCAAGAAGAGGGACACAUACAUGGAUAACACAAAUCUAGUGACACGUAUAUUCAUCACAAAGGCAAAUCUGAUAAUUUUAUCCAUGGAGCAGACCAAGGAGAAAUUGAUGACGGACAUGUGAUCUCUGUAUUCAGUUGAAAGCUAAUUGAGCUACACUAAUAUGAGCAGGACUAUAUUCAAGAGACUUGUUGAGAGCUACAGGGAACUUGUAAUAAUUUGCUGGGCGGCCUGCGCACAAUGAUUUGUUAUACAUAGUUGAAAUAUUUCAAGAAUUUAUCAACCUCAUACUCUGAAACCCUUGGUGCAAUGUACUCUGCUUUCCGAGGUAGACUGUUCACGUAAAAUGAGGUCAUGCGUAAGACGGAAUCGGAUUGGAUUCACAGGGAAUCAGAUUUGGAUAGCACCUUUUAGCAGGUUUUUAGUCAAAUGCAAAUUCGGAUCCACAUGUGGUUGAAUGCGAGUUCAAAAUUCUACUUGGAUAUCCAUUUAAUUUAGGUGAUAGCAAUUAGCACAAAAUGUUGGAUGAACAAAAUCAUAGUUAGACAUACAAUUACAUGUAUGGUUAAAGUAUAAUACAAUACACCAAGAUUAUUCCUUGAAAAUAUUUCUUAAAAAUAUUAUAAUAAAUGAAUAAAUAUAAUUGUGGCCACCAACAAAUAGUCGGUGGUCGCUAAGUUGGAGCCAUUUCUGGUUACUAAUGCGGCCUUCUCCUCGACCAGCGACGACAGCUGAGCUUGUUCCUUCUGACACUAAAUCAUCAGAGUCUUCCCUCCACUACUAUAGAAUGCACCUUUAGCACCAAUUGGGAAAUCCCCUUCAGUAUUGGAUGCUGCAACCAGUGCUAUAUAUCAAAAUGGAGACUAAAAGCCUCGGUCUUGGGUACCGGUUGCAUAACGCAUUACUAAAGGAGGCAAAAGAGAAAUGUAACAAAAAAAAUAUUUUGAAUUCCAAGAAUGUUUCACUAUUCAAGAUGACUAGCUGAGAGUCAACAGACAAGAUACUAGGAAUGUGGGUGCUUGAAUGCAUUUGUACAGAGGUCAUACUAUUUACAAACUCUUCUAUGUUUCCAUAUGACUACCUACUUCAAUGUCACGCGAGCCAUUCAGCUGGACACAUGGCACACUAGCUUGCAUGUCGAAUCCAUGAUUAAUUAUUUCCACUUGUGAUCUCUUACCAGUAUUUGUCCAGACUAGAAACGUGCAACACAUUUUUAGGAUAUGGACACGCAUAUAUUUGGACUAGUAUACAGGUCACCUUUGGAUGCGUACAAGGAUGACCGGGAGGGACUAGAAAUGGUCUAGUUUUGAUUGGACUACAAAACUUUUUGUACAGUGAAUAGAGAAUAUAUAUUAUUGUUGGAAUACGAGGUAGGCUACACUAUCGCAAUUCUGAUAUUCUACCGCGUAUAACCAAGAAGAACUGUCGUAUAAGGAUCACGGGAUUACCACUCGACGCACUACUGGUGCGGAAGAUGUAGAUAUGCGUCGAUGCAGUGAAGACGAUCACGUAGUCGUAUGUAGUCGAUCAACGUAGUCGUACAUAGUCGAUCACGUCCAGCAGCUCCUCAGCAGCUCGUCCACGUGCAGCAAGAUCGCCUCCGGUACCGCGGCUCGUCGUUGGCUUGUCGUGGCUCGUCGACGGCUCGUCGGCGGCUCGUCCAAGUGCUGCAGGCGCAACACCUCCAAGGUAUCCACACGUGCAGGGAGGAAGCGUCGCAAGCCGGACUGCUAGAUCCACGAGUUGCAACAGGCGAGGGCGUGGGAGGCGCGGCAGGUGUGUUUCGCCAAAAAGGUGUAAACCCUAGGGCGCCCCCACCCCUCUAUUUAUAGAGGUUCCUGACGGGCCUCUGGAUCCGAGGCCCAUUAGUACUUCUAAACCUAAUCCAACUCGGAUCAGAUCCGAAUUGGGCUUCCAGCCCCUUAAGUGUGUGACCCUAUAAGUUCGGAUACGUAUAGACAUGGCCCGAGUACUCCUACUCGGCCCAAUAGUCGGUAGCGGCCUCUAGCAAGACGUGCCAACUCCUAUACGCACACGAAGAUCAUAUCAGACGAACCAUCACAACAUAAUAUACAUGCUAUUCCCUUUGCCUCACGAUAUUUGGUCUAGCUUCAAGCCGACCGCUCUUUCUCAGUCCUGUGAUUCGGAAUCCCUUUGUAGGUUAACUCUUAACCGUACGUAGCAUGGCCAUGCAUUUUCGGAUCUGAUCACUCGAGGGGCCCAGAGAUAUCACUCUCAAUCAGAGAGGGGCAAAUCCCAUCUUGAUUGACCAUGUCUCAUAGCAUGCUUCUUGACAAACCUAAAAACUACCUUUAUAACUUCCCUGUUACGGCGUAGUGUUUGAUAGCUCCUAAGUAGGUCGAUCCACAUCUAGAAUACAUGCGACAAUUUCAGGUCUAAGGACAAAGCGUAUAUGUUGUUUAAAGAGAGAACUACUUCUCGUGUUGGGUCAGUCCCAGCACAUGUCUCCACAUGUGUCCACAUUAUUAGUUCAACAUCUCCAUGUCCAUGACUUGUGAAACAUAGUCAUCAACUAAUACAUGUGCUAGUCUAAUAUUCAUGUGUGUCCUCACAUGAACUCCGACUAGGGACAACUUUAGAAUAACCAUACAAGUAAAGAGUUUCACAUACAAUUCACAUAAUUGCAAAUCAAUUCAAGUAGCCUUCAAUGGAUAUUCAAUGAACACAACAUACAAAUCAUGGAUACAAAUGGAAUAUCAUCAUCUCUAUGAUUGCCUCUAGGGCAUACCUCCAACAGUCUCCCACUUGCACUAGAGUCAAUCUAGAAGGUACCUAAUACCCAUAGCUCUUACAUGCGCAUCAUGCUUAGCCUGCGGGAGUGGUUUUGUCAACGGAUCAGAAAUGUUCAGAUCCGUGUGUAUUUUGCAUAUCUUGAUCUCACCCCGGUUAACGAAGUCUCGAAUGAGAUGAAAUCGCCGCAUUACAUGUUUGUUCUUCUGGUGGUUCCUUGGCUCCUUUGCUUGCGCAAUUGCCCCAUUGUUAUCACAGUAGAGAUUCAAUGGGCUGGACCCAUUCGGGAACACACCAAGCUCAAUGAGGAAAUUCCUUAUCCAAACACCUUCCUUCGCGGCUUCCGAAGCCGCGAUGUACUCGGCUUCUGUCGUAGAAUCGGCCACCGUCUCCUGCUUGGAACUCUUCCAACUAACAGCACCACCAUUUAGCGUGAACACAAAUCCUGUUUGUGACUUUGAAUCAUCUCUGUCGGUUUGGAAACUAGCAUCGGUGUAACCUGUUACAACGAGCUCCUCCUCACCUCCAUAGACGAGGAAUAUAUCUUUAGUCCUUCUCAAGUACUUAAGAAUGUUUUUCACCGCUGUUCAGUGACUCUCACCUGGAUCAGAUUGGUGUCUGCUUGUCAUACUUAGCACAUAUGAAACAUCUGGGCGAGUACUUAUCAUUGCAUACAUGAUAGAUCCAAUAGCCGAGGCAUAUGACACUCUACUCAUGUGAUCCCGCUCAUCAGCAGUCGAAGGACACUGAGUCUUGCUGAGAUGUAUGCCAUGUGACAUAGGCAAGAACCCUUCCAUGCUGAACCGCUUCAACACUUUGUCAAUGUAAGUAUCUUGGCUUAAACCUAUAAGCCUUCUCGAUCUAUCUCUAUAGAUCUUAAUGCCCAGAAUAUAUGCCGCUUCCCCUAAGUCCUUCAUCGAAAAACUAUUUUUCAGUGAAGUCUUUAUGGACUCAAGCAUAGGAAUGUUAUUUCCAAUCAGUAAUAUGUCAUCCACAUAUAAGAUUAGAAAUACUACAGAGCUCCCACUAACCUUCUUGUAAACACAAGACUCUUCUUCGUUCUUGGUGAAGUCAAACCCUUUGACCACUUCAUCAAAACGAAUGUUCCAACUCCUAGAUGCUUGCUUCAAUCAAUAAAUGGAUCUCUGAAGCUUGCAUACCUUUCCAGCAUUUUUCGGAUCGACAAAACCCUUGGACUGUAUCAUAUACACGUCCUCAGUUAGGUUUCCAUUCAGGAAAGCUGUCUUGACAUCCAUCUGCCAUAUCUCAUAAUCGAAAUAUGCAGCCAAACUUGAUUGUCUCCCAUGGACUCUAUUUCGGAUUGCAUGGCAUUCUGCCAUUUUUCGGAGUCUGGGUCCAUCAUUGCUUCUGCAUAUGUCACAGGCUCAUCAUUGUCCAACAAUAAUAUUUCCUGCAUUUCGCGGAGCCUUGCCGACCUUCGUGGUUGUGGCGGUGCUUCUCUUGCCAUGGGUAUCUCAACUUGUUCUGCUACGUUAGCAUCACUCAUUGAUUCUUGCCCGAUCGGCUCAUCUUGAACUUCUUCAAGAUGCACUGUCUUUCCACUCUUUUCUCCUUUGAGAAACUCUUUCUCUAGGAAAACCCCGUUCCGAGCGACAAACACUUUGCCUUCUGAUCAGUUGUAAAAAUAAUAUCCCAAAGUUUCCUUUGGAUAUCCCACGAAAAUGCACUUAUCCGACUUGGGUGCGAUCUUGUCCGACUGAAGUCGCUUGACAAACACAUCACAUCCCCAAAUCUUUAGAAAAGACAAACUAGGAACCUUUCCAGUCCAUAUCUCAUAUGGUGUCUUAACUACGGAUUUAGAUGGUACCCUAUUAAGUGUGAAAGCUGCUGUUUCUAGAGCGUAUCCCCAAAAUGACAACGGUAGGUCCGACUGGCUCAUCAUUGAUCGAACCAUGUCUAACAAAGAUCGAUUACGUCGCUCGGACACACCGUUUCUCUGAGGUGAUCCAGGCGGCGUAAGUUGUGGAACAAUUCCGCAACUCUUUAGAUGAUUGCUAAACUUGUGGCUCAAAUACUCGCCUCCACGAUCAGAUUGUAAGGCCUUAAUUUUCUUGACACGCUAAUUUUCAACUUCAUUCUGAAAAUCCUUGAACUUUUCAAAGGUUUCAGACUUGUGCCUCAUCAAGUAGACAUAGCCAUAUCUACUAAAAUCAUCAGUGAAAGAUAUGAAGUAUUGGAAUCCUCCUCUAGCCGUCGUGCUCAUUGGUCCGCAUACAUCACUAUGUACGAGUUCCAACAAGUCUACUGCUCUCUCAGGAAAUCCUGUGAAAGACGUCUUGGUCAUCUUGCCUAGCAAGCAAGCCUCACAUGUCUCGUAUGAUUCAAAAUCAAACGAAGUUAGAAGUCCAUCAGAAUGGAGCUUCUUCAUGCGUUUUUCACUUAUAUGACCCAAACGACAAUGCCACAAGUAGGUAGGACUCAAAUCAUUAGGCCGAGGCCUUUUAGCACUUACAUUACAGACAGGUGAACCAUCAAGAUUUAAAACAAAUAAUCCAUUCACAAUGGGUGCAAAAGCCAUAAACAUAUUAUUCUUAGAGAUCACACAACCAUUGUUUUCACUCGCAAAUGAAUAACCAUCCUUCAUCAAGCAUGAAGGAGACAAAAUGUUUCGACUUAAACUAGGAACAAAAUAACAAUUAUUCAACUCCAUAAUAAAUGCUGACGGGAGGUGGAGUUGCAUCGUCCCGACGGUCAACGCAGCAACUCUUGCAUUAUUGCCCACGCGGAAAUCAACUUCUCCUCUUUCCACGCUUCUACUUCUUAUCAUUCCCUGCAUCGAAUUGCAAAUAUGAGCAACCGAUCCGGUAUCAAAUACCCAAGAAUUAAUAAUUGUAUCAGCGAGAAAUAUGUUGUCUAUGACAUUAACAACAAGCGUACCUGAGGUAGAAGUACUCUUACUUCCUCCAUUCUUCAACGAAGCUAGGUACUGCUUGCAGUUUCUCUUCCAGUGACCAAGUUCAUGACAGUAAAAGCACUCUUUGUCUGGAGCAGGUCCAGGUCCAGCUUUAACCUUGGGCGCUCGCUGGGUUUGGCUUGGAAAUUCCAGCCUUGCCCUUCUUCUUCCAAGAAUUGCCCUUCUUCUUAAAGCUAGGCUUGUUCUGUAUAGCCAUCACAUGGCUAGUACAAGCGCUUUUCUUGAUGUCUACCUCUGCUGUCUUGAGCAUACCACACAGUUCAUUCAAACCCUUCUCCGUCCCAUGCAUAUGGUAGUUCGAGAUGAAGUUCCCAUAGCUAGGCGGAAGAGAUGAAAGAAUGAAGUCAGUGGCCAACUCUUUGCCCAUUGGGAAGCCCAGCUUCUCCAAUCGCUGAGUGUAACCAACCAUGUUGAUUACAUGUGGUCCUACUGCUGCGUCUUCUGCUAGCUUGCACUCCAGAAAAGCUUUGGACACAUUGAACCUUUCAGUCCUAGCCUGUGUCUGGAACAUGUCCUUGAGCGCCACGAUCAUAUCGUGUGCCUCAUGAUUUGUUUCGAACUGCAUCUGCAGCUCGGGUUCCAUGCAAGCAAGCAUAAGGCAGCUUACCUCAAGAUUAGCAUCAAAUGCCUUCUUGUAAGCAGCCUUAACGGCAGCAGAUGCAUCAUCAGCAGGUACUGGUGGUAGUGGGGUAUCUAGAACAUCUUCCUUUUUAUCGGCCCUGAGAACAAUUCUCAGGUUACGGAUCCAAUCCGAGUAGUUUGUUCCAUUCAACUUGUCCUUCUCAAGGACCGAGCGCAAAGCAAACGAUGUGGUGGUGUUGCUAGGUGCCAUUUAAUCUACAACAAAAGUAAUGCAAAAUACACUAAGACAAACGUAUCCAUGAUAGAGCAAAUUACAUUAAACUAUUUUAACAGAAUCUACUCCCACUAAAAUCAAUAUCCCUCUAUUGAAACUUAGUGAUUCAGGAUCCACAACUAACAAGUCUACUAGUGAGCUUUAGCAUCACCGCUAGCAAACGAGGUAGAUCGGUAAGCAACUUUUGCUAAUCAUAUCACAUAUGACUCCUGUUGUUGGGUGACAUCUCCAUGUCUCGGCGCCCAACCAUUAUGCCCCAAGGUCCUUAACCGUUAAGAUGACCUCGUUAAGCAAACCAACCCUUAUGCGUGUAAGUGUCCGACACAAACCCGUCUAGUCAAGGAAAACUAGUGGCACCCUAAUUUCAUAGACCCACCACUAAUUGUACAAGACAUGGGACGGUGCAAGUUUUAGUUGGGAGGGCAUACUAACUUAAAUUUUUUGUGAGGGAUCGUUCUACUUCUAACAUCACAGCAUGCAGAAAGUAAAACAUAAACAGAAUAGCAUUCACACAGCUGUGACACAGUAUGGCCCGUUUUUAUAUGGUGAUCUCCAUCUCCAUAGAACCUGUUCACCAUGGUGAUCUCCAUCUCCAUGUUCCAUGUGCGCCAUCCUCCUGGUGAGGAGUCCUCCAAGAACUAGAACAUGCUAUUACACCUAAUAGCUAGUAAAGAAUCUAGUAAUGAAGAUUACAUAGUUGCUUGGAUCAUCACAGAUUGGUACGCAGACCAUUAAAUACAAUAAAGUGACAACACAUAUGGCUCCUGCCGUGUUGCCGUACGCGCGACACGCAGGUCACGAAUGAGUUACACACAUGCAUCACAUACACAAGGGGGCCAUACUGAUCACAAGAUACAUACAUACAUCCUGCAAAACAGAGUUAGGCGUCCUAACGUUCCAAACUUCGAAGGCCCGAAACUCCAUCUUCCAAGCCGAAUUUGGGAAAUCUAAUUUUGCCGAAAACGGCAAAGCGGUUGAAUUUCAUGUGUAACUUUUUCUGUAGAUCAAUUUUCAUAUAAAAUUCGCCCCGAUCCGAGAUCGUACCGAAAAGUUACGGCUGAUUUACCGAAGCAUACGCAUACGGCAAAAAUUCCGACCCCGGCAGUAGAUCCCAUCUACUAUUGCACAUCUAAUGCGCCUGGCGUAUGAUCCUGGAUUUCGAUUCGACCAAUCAUAUUGAUCUUCGCUCACUGCAACUGGAAUUACGUGUAUCACUUAACUCGUCGGCGGCUCGUCGGCGGCUCAUCCAAGUGCUGCAGGCCCAACACCUCCAAGGUAUCCACACGUGCAGGGAGGAAGCGUCGCAAACCGGACUGCUAGAUCCGCGAGUUGCAAUAGGCGAGGGCGUGGGAGGCGCCGCAGGUGUGUUUCGCCAAAAAGAUGUAAACCCUAGGGCGCCCCCACCCCUCUAUUUAUAGAGGUUCCUGACGGGCCUCUGGAUCCGAGGCCCAUUAGUACUUCUAAACCUAAUCCAACUCGGAUCAGAUCCGAAUUGGGCUUCCAGCCCCUUAAGUGUGUGACCCUAUGGGUUCGGAUACGUAUAGACAUGGCCCGAGUACUCCUACUCGGCCCAAUAGUCGGUAGCGGCCUCUAGCAAGACGUGCCAACUCCUAUACACACACGAAGAUCAUAUCAGAUGAACCAUCACAACAUAAUAUACAUGCUAUUCCCUUUGCCUCACGAUAUUUGGUCUAGCUUCAAGCCGACCGCUCUUUCUCAAUCCUGUGAUUCGGAAUCCCUUUGUAGGUUAACUCUUAACCGUACGUAGCAUGGCCAUGCAUUUUCGGAUCCGAUCACUCGAGGGGCCCAGAGAUAUCACUCUCAAUCAGAGAGGGGCAAAUCCCAUCUUGAUUGACCAUGUCUCAUAGCAUGCUUCUUGACAAACCCGAAAACUACCUUUAUAACUACCCUGUUACGGCGUAGCAUUUGAUAGCCCCUAAGUAGGUCGAUCCACAUCUAGAAUACAUGCGACAAUCUCAGGUCUAAGGACAAAGCGUAUAUGUUGUUUAAAGAGAGAACUACUUCUCGUGUUGGGUCAGUCCCAGCACAUGUCUCCACAUGUGUCCACAUUAUUAGUUCAACAUCUCCAUGUCCAUGACUUGUGAAACAUAGUCAUCAACUAAUACAUGUGCUAGUCUAAUAUUCAUGUGUGUCCUCACAUGAACUCCGACUAGGGACAACUUUAGAAUAACCAUACAAGUAAAGAGUUUCACAUACAAUUCACAUAAUUGCAAAUCAAUUCAAGUAGCCUUCAAUGGAUAUUCAAUGAACACAACAUACAAAUCAUGGAUACAAAUGGAAUAUCAUCAUCUCUAUGAUUGCCUCUAGGGCAUACCUCCAACAAUUAUUUCAUGUAAAUUUUUGACAAUUUUUUAAAAUUGUUUGAUAUUUUUUAAAUUUUUUUUAAAAUAACUUUGCCGAGUGUCCUAUUGUAGACACUCGGCAAAGCAGCCUUCACCGAGUGUUACCCCUGGGACACUCGGCGAAUUAAUGCCCGGCCGCUCAAGAAUAUGUGCCCGGCCCCCUCACUCUCCCGGCCCCCCUCACUCUCACUCCCCUCACUCCCUCCUCUCUCCCUCCUCUCUCCCUCUCGCCGCCGCCCGAAACCCCCGCCGCCGCCCGCCGCCCGGCAUGCCGCCCAGCGCCCCCCGCCGCCGCCCGGCGCUCCCGAAUCCGCCGCCGCCCGCCCGGCGCCCGGCCCCCGGAUCCGCCGCCGCCGGCCGCCCGGCGCCCCCGGAUUCGCCGCCGCCCGCCCGGCCCCCGGCCCCCGGAUCAGCCGCCGCCCGCCGCCCGGCGCACGGCGCCCCCGGAUCCGCCGCCGCCUGCCCGGCGCCCGGCCCCUGGCCCCCUGAUCCGCCGCCGCCCGCCCGGAUCCGCCGCCGCCCGCCCGGCGCCCGGCCCCCGGCCCCCGGAUCCACCGCCGCCCCCCCGGCCCCCGGAUCCGCCGCCCGCCCGUCCCCUCCACCGGAUCCGCCGGCGCCGGGGCCUGAAGAGAAGAGAAGAGGAGAGGAUGGUGGCGGCGGCGGCCGCGGCGGCGGAGCAGGUGGCAGAGCAUGCAUGAUUUUUUUUUAUUUUUUCAAUAAUUGUUCGCCAAGUGUUUUCUGGGCACUCGGCAAAGUCUUUGCCGAGUGCCCGACACAAAACACUCGGCGAACCAGUGUUUGCCGUCAAGAUUUUUGCCGUGUGUCGUUUGCCGAGUGUUACACUCGGCAAACGCUUUGUCGAGUGUUUUUGGGGUUUCGCGGAGUGACCCUGGCACUCGGCAUCACGCAUGUUUCCCUUAGUGAACUUGAAAUUAUCUGUACAUUCUCGGUGAAGCUGUUGAACUAAUUUUUGCAAAUUAUUAAUUCAUCUCAUUACGCAAAGAAAAAAGUAAGUGGAUAAGAUAUUUCGUGGACCACAUCACUGCAAACAUGUCAUGGAGAGACAGACCAAGGAGGCAGGACGUGAUACACGACUUACCCUAGGUUGCCGUGGAACCGCCAAGAAGAGAUACAGAUACAUGGACCACACCAUCUUGGGAGUAGUGACAGCAUAUAUGCAGAAGAAUACCCCGUGCCUAUUUGCAUGCAUGUCUCAAGUGAUCUGUUUUCUUCAGAAAAUACAUGAGCAUUGCCAGAAAGAAUGGCAAGAGACAAACAUGUCAUAGAGACUUGCAUGUCUUGCCUUGGAUACGCCAAGAAGAGGGACACAUACAUGGAUAACACAAAUCUAGUGACACGUAUAUUCAUCACAAAGGCAAAUCUGAUAAUUUUAUCCAUGGAGCAGACCAAGGAGAAAUUGAUGACGGACAUGUGAUCUCUGUAUUCAGUUGAAAGCUAAUUGAGCUACACUAAUAUGAGCAGGACUAUAUUCAAGAGACUUGUUGAGAGCUACAGGGAACUUGUAAUAAUUUGCUGGGCGGCCUGCGCACAAUGAUUUGUUAUACAUAGUUGAAAUAUUUCAAGAAUUUAUCAACCUCAUACUCUGAAACCCUUGGUGCAAUGUACUCUGCUUUCCGAGGUAGACUGUUCACGUAAAAUGAGGUCAUGCGUAAGACGGAAUCGGAUUGGAUUCACAGGGAAUCAGAUUUGGAUAGCACCUUUUAGCAGGUUUUUAGUCAAAUGCAAAUUCGGAUCCACAUGUGGUUGAAUGCGAGUUCAAAAUUCUACUUGGAUAUCCAUUUAAUUUAGGUGAUAGCAAUUAGCACAAAAUGUUGGAUGAACAAAAUCAUAGUUAGACAUACAAUUACAUGUAUGGUUAAAGUAUAAUACAAUACACCAAGAUUAUUCCUUGAAAAUAUUUCUUAAAAAUAUUAUAAUAAAUGAAUAAAUAUAAUUGUGGCCACCAACAAAUAGUCGGUGGUCGCUAAGUUGGAGCCAUUUCUGGUUACUAAUGCGGCCUUCUCCUCGACCAGCGACGACAGCUGAGCUUGUUCCUUCUGACACUAAAUCAUCAGAGUCUUCCCUCCACUACUAUAGAAUGCACCUUUAGCACCAAUUGGGAAAUCCCCUUCAGUAUUGGAUGCUGCAACCAGUGCUAUAUAUCAAAAUGGAGACUAAAAGCCUCGGUCUUGGGUACCGGUUGCAUAACGCAUUACUAAAGGAGGCAAAAGAGAAAUGUAACAAAAAAAAUAUUUUGAAUUCCAAGAAUGUUUCACUAUUCAAGAUGACUAGCUGAGAGUCAACAGACAAGAUACUAGGAAUGUGGGUGCUUGAAUGCAUUUGUACAGAGGUCAUACUAUUUACAAACUCUUCUAUGUUUCCAUAUGACUACCUACUUCAAUGUCACGCGAGCCAUUCAGCUGGACACAUGGCACACUAGCUUGCAUGUCGAAUCCAUGAUUAAUUAUUUGCACUUGUGAUCUCUUACCAGUAUUUGUCCAGACUAGAAACGUGCAACACAUUUUUAGGAUAUGGACACGCAUAUAUUUGGACUAGUAUACAGGUCACCUUUGGAUGCGUACAAGGAUGACCGGGAGGGACUAAUGGAUACAAGGAAGGGACCAUCAGGAUUAAUAUUGACAUAUGCCACAUGACAAUCUUCAUUGUCAUGCAAUCCCUAUCAACAAUCAUGGAAUCCCUAGUGUACUAAUCCCUGGAGGGUUGUGUGGAAAUUUAUUUUACCUUGCGGUGAAAAUCUCAUGAGCAGUCAUUAGUUAAGCUGACUAGCUGAGAUAUAAUAGACAAGCUAGUAAGAUUGGGAGCAUCAAUGCAUCCAUACAGGGUCACAAUAUCCUUUCCAUUCACUUUUAUAUAUAACCCUACGAAUACAAGUCCAACGAAAUGCGGGCCUUUCGAUCAAGAUAAAUUAAAUGGCCCACUUGUAUUUCUAAUCCAGGAUUAACUAUGCCCUCUGUUCAUCUCUUGCAAGCACGUGCAACACAUUUUCACGAUAUGGACAUGCAUGGAGGUUAUUAUACUGUUUGGACAAACUCUGAUGUGCCAUGACCUAAAUGCUUAGGGCCUGUUUGGUUUGAGUUGCUUAUUAUAAGCAACUUAAAGUUGCUUAAAGUUGCUUAUUUGAAGUUGCUUAUUUUUAGUCUAAACUGUUUGGAUACCCUUGCUUAUGAGCAUUGAAUGAGUUGGACAUUGUCAAAUUUGCCCCAUGUGUUGCUACCCCUCCAAUUUGCCUCCCCACCCUUCUUCUUCCUGCACACGUCCGAUCCCGGGGGCCGACGGCGGGCAGGGAGCAGCAGCAGCUGGCCAGGGCGGCGGUGGGGCGGGAGCGGCGGCGCACACCAGCACGCGCUCGCACGCCAGGUGCUAGGGCGCGGCGAGGCAGUCGUCGUAGCCCACCGGGAGCGGGUGCUCGGGCGCGAGGCGGUACUCGACGGAGAUGCCGAGCGUCGGGCGCGCGGCGGCGAGCGCGUUGAGGAAGCGAUGGUAGUGCGGCGACGUCGCGGACUCCGCCACGAAGCCGCCGCCGUGGACGUACACCACCACGGGCAGCUUCGUCUUGCCGUCGGCGGCCGCGGCCGCGGCCUGGGGUGGCAGGUAGAGGCGGACGGAGCAGGAGCCGAGGUCGACGUCCCUGGAGUCGACGCCCGUGGCGGCGUCCAGGCUAGGCCCGACCGGCGGCGGCACGAGCGGGCGCUCGAUGCGGCCGCUCUUGUAAAUCCGACGGGUCUGUGCGGAGGCGGGCGGCGGGCGGGAGCGGCGGGUGGGAGCGGCGGCAGGUGGUGCGGAGGCCGGCGGCGGCGGGUGGCGCGGAGGAAGGGGAGCUGGUGAGUGGUGACAGGGGAGGGGGGGAGAGAGAGGGGGGGGUAGGGUGCAUUGAAUGAGGGCAGGAGGUGUAAAGUGCACCUUUUAGUCCCCAUGAGCAACCAUAAGCAGCCCAAGAGUUGCUUAUUUGCUUAUAAUAAGCAACCUCAUAAGCAAGAGUGAUUGGUUUCAUAAGCAACUUAUUUGCUUAUUUUAAGUUGCUUAUGCAUAAGCAUGUGAAACCAAGCAGGUCCUUAACCUAUGGUUGUGGCACCACACAGUACAUAGUAUUUAAUAAUGCUAUUCGUUUGGUAUGUGCACAAGGGCACGCAUGAAAUGUCUGGCCCACGGUAAACAAGUACGGACGCUGCAAAUAAUCUACUCUGCUCGUCCAGUCCCUAGCCUAUAAAUAGAUGCCAUGCUAGCUCUUGUUGUGCUCACAAUUAAUCCUGACUACACACGAGCUUCUCUCCCUGGCCAAGACACAAUCAUAGUAUGAUGAAGAACAUGGCACUAGCCGGCAAUGGUAUGAAGAACUUAAUCCUCGCUGUUCUCUUACUGUGUCUAGUUAUAGGGCAGAUACAAGUGGAAGCUAAGAGCUGCUGCCCAUCCAUUACUGCAAGAAAUAUCUACAAUGCCUGCCGUAUCACGGGUACAUCCCGUCCAACGUGUGCAAAACUGUCAGGCUGCAAAAUUAUCAGCGGGGACAAAUGCAAGCCCCCUAACGACCACCUCACCCUUGACCCGGACACUGGUAAAUAAUAAAUUUAUCUCACUUGAUUUCUUCGUGUUUUGAGUCGUUAAUGUAUUUUCCAUCUGAUGAAACGUAUUGGUUUUGCAUUGAAGAGGAAGUUAAUGUGCUUAACUUCUGCAAGUUGGGGUGUGCGUCGUCUGUGUGCAACAACAUCAACGCUGGUAAGCACCUUUUGCUCAGACGGAGAAAACAAUAAUCAUUAAUUAGCGGCAGCUAGAAUCCUAUAAUCUAAUAUAUUUAUAUAUAUAUAUAAUUUUAUCAGCUCUGGGAAAUGAAGAGGCGAACGAUGCCGUUGAGAGUUGCGACCAAGCCUGCUCUAGCUUCUGCAACGUGCACGUUGGCGCUGCCACCGUGGUUGCUUAAGCAAAUGCAUCCAACUGGAUCGUCCUUGUGCUAAAUAAUUGGAUAUCGUAUCCACUUAAAGCUGCCUUGUGUAGUACGUUUUUGUUUGUGUCUCUCUUUAUAUUCCAAUAAGGUCGGUGAUCUUGAUGCCACACACUCAGACGUGUGUUCAUCUCCAGAUACUACUCCAUGCUACCUGCCCUUUGUGUUUUGUUCAAUAACUGGGUAUCAU